This 1143-nucleotide ribosomal RNA is filed under the name Triticum aestivum (bread wheat). RNAcentral describes it as "partial small subunit ribosomal RNA". Lineage: Eukaryota; Viridiplantae; Streptophyta; Magnoliopsida; Poales; Poaceae. The record is from RNAcentral.
AUGCUAUGCACCUGGAACGGCAGCAUCGCGGACGAGCUGGGUGUGCCGUGCGUCACAUUCAGUGUGAUGGGCGCCUUCUCGAUGCUUGCUGUGCGUCACCUCGCGGACGAGGUUGGCAAUGACGAUGCCGUGAGGGAGGUCCCUCGGUUCCCCGUCCCGCCUAUACGGAUACCGAGGGCCGAGUUACCAAAUUUCUUGAGGACACACCACUACUCAUUCAUUAACUCGUUGAACUCACUUCAAGCUGACUGCUUUGGCCUCGCCAUGAACACUUCAUCAGACCUGGAGAAGCCUUAUUGCGAGAUAUACAGACGCCAGGGCUACGUGAAGCGCGCCUACUUUCUAGGGCCUGUUGCGUCAUUGCCCUUGCCCGCAGCCGCAGCCGCAGAGGAGAGGAAGGAGAAGGACAAGAAGAAGAACAAGUGCAUCAUCAUGGAUUGGCUUGACUCGAAGCCAGACCAUUCGGUGGCGUACGUCUCCUUCGGCAGCAUGGCGCACGCCAAGGAUGCUCAGCUGGACGAGCUUGCUCUUGGGCUGGAUGCCUCGGGGAAGUCGUUCCUGUGGGUGGUGAGGGGCAAGGAGGAUUGGAAUUCACCCAAGGGGUGGGAGGAGCGCGUCCAGGUCCAGGAUAGGGGGCUCAUCAUCAGAGCCUGGGCUCCACAGACAGCUAUACUAGGGCACCCGGCAGUGGGUGCAUUUGUGACGCACUGUGGGUGGAACUCCAUCCUAGAGACGGUGGCGGCUGGCCUGCCUGUGCUCACAUGGCCCGUCUUUUUUGAGCAGUUCAUCACCGAGAGGCAGGUGACGGAGGUCCUAGGGAUCGGGGAGCCGCUGUGGCCGGAUGGCGCCGCGGCCGGCCUACGCAGUGAGAGAAACCAAGAACACGAGGUUGUUCCGGGCCAAAACGUGGCACGGGCAUUGACGGGGUUUAUGGGCGCCGGAGGGCGAGGGGACGCUGCGAGAAUCAAGGUGAUGGACCUCGCCGCCAAGGCACGCGCAGCCGUGGCACAAGGAGGCUCCUCCCACCGUGACUUUCAUCGUCUGGUUGAUGAUCUCAUGGCGGCAGCAGCAGCUAAGAGGAGGACCUUUAUGCAUCCAUUCUCUCUCAGCCGCACCUCCAUCUGUGUCAGUUUAAUUAAUUAA